Molecule: long non-coding RNA, 1183 nt
Organism: Bos taurus (domestic cattle)
Lineage: Eukaryota; Metazoa; Chordata; Mammalia; Artiodactyla; Bovidae
Source: Ensembl
CUCUCCUUAAUGGCCUCUAAUCUUGUGUUAACCCUCAUCAUAUCACUUACACUCUUCUUGAAAAAGUUGUUAAUGAUCUCCAUGUUCACAAAUAAACUGGAAAAAUUUCAGUAUCAUUUAUUUUGAUUUCCAAAGGGUUUUUUAACACAGUUGAACACUUUCUUUAAAGAUUCUCUCCUCUAGGCUUUUUGACACCUUUACUCUCUGAUUUUUCUGUUUCUGUGGCUAUUUCUUCUUAGCAUUUCUACUUCCUCCUUUUUUUCUACCCUCUUCCUUAUCACCACAAUAUAUCCCCACACACACCCCCAUCAGUUGUCACCUCUGUUUUAACCAGUACUCAAUCCAUUCAUUUAUCUUUAUUUCUACUGCUACGAAUCCAGUCAAAACCCAAACUCUCUAGCACCUGACUUUUUUUCAGUUCCUCAACUACCAUGUUUUUAACACCUUAGCAUCUUUCUCCACUCUCAUCUCGCCAGAUGGAAAAUGCCAUUCCUCCCUAAUGGUGUCCUGGCCAACUCUCACCCUACUCAGAGUUGAGUUUAGUUACAAAGUCAUGUCUGACUCUUGCAACCCCACAGCCUGUAGCCCGCCAGGCUCUUCUGUCCAUGGAAUUCUCCAGGCAAGAAUACUGGAGUGGGUUGCCAUUUCCUUAUCCAGGGACCCUACACAGAGUCUCAGCUUAAAUACCAUCACCUCAGAGACAACCUCAUCUCUCUACCUAAAUUAGGUCUUCCCACAAUUAUUUAUCAUUUUUCUUCAUAAAAUAUAUUACUAAUUACAAUUAUAUAUUUGCUUAUUUUAUUUCUUUAACAUUGUCUCUAGUAAGUAGGUUGUAAGUUUGAUGAGGGCAGGAAUACUGUCUUUUAAAUCACUUUUGUUGAUAUAAUAGUGAUAAUUUUUCUCUCUGGAGUUAGAUUACCGAAUGUAUAUUCUGAGUAUAGGACUAGCUAUGACUUUGGGGAAGUUAUAUAAUCUUUUAUUCUUCAGUCCUCUUAUCACAAAAAUGUGAAUAAUAAUUAAAUAUGUCUAAUAGGGUUGUGGCAAGGACUUAAUGAAAUAAUAUGUGUUAGAUUAGCAGAAAGUCUAGCACAUGGCAUUGUAUGCUUUUUAAAUAUUUUCCAUUGGUAUUUUUAUUAUUAUUUUUUCUGGUGCAGUGCAUGGAACAUAGUUGGUGCUCAAUAAA